RNAcentral lists this ribosomal RNA (492 nucleotides) under uncultured bacterium. RNAcentral describes it as "partial 16S ribosomal RNA". It matches the Rfam family "Bacterial small subunit ribosomal RNA", at positions 29 to 507 of the family's 1533-position model. The record is from RNAcentral.
AGUGAACGCUGGCGGUAGGCCUAACACAUGCAAGUCGAACGGCAGCACAGUAAGAGCUUGCUCUUACGGGUGGCGAGUGGCGGACGGGUGAGGAAUACAUCGGAAUCUACUUUUUCGGGGGGGAUAACGUAGGGAAACUUACGCUAAUACCGCAUACGACCUACGGGUGAAAGCAGGGGAUCUUCGGACCUUGCGCGAUUGAAUGAGCCGAUGUCGGAUUAGCUAGUUGGCGGGGUAAAGGCCCACCAAGGCGACGAUCCGUAGCUGGUCUGAGAGGAUGGUCGGCCACACUGGAACUGGGCCACGGUCCAGGCUCCUACGGGAGGCAGCAGUGGGGAAUAUUGGACAAUGGGCGCAAACCUGAUCCAGCCAUACCGCGUGGGUGAAGAAGGCCUUCGGGUUGUAAAGCCCUUUUGUUGGGAAAGAAAAGCAGCAGGUUAAUACCCCGCUGUUCUGACGGUACCCAAAGAAUAAGCACCGGCUAACUUCGUG